RNAcentral lists this ribosomal RNA (301 nucleotides) under Enterococcus malodoratus. RNAcentral's name for it is "bacterial LSU rRNA". It matches the Rfam family "Bacterial large subunit ribosomal RNA", at positions 2106 to 2406 of the family's 2925-position model. The record is from RNAcentral. Lineage: Bacteria; Bacillati; Bacillota; Bacilli; Lactobacillales; Enterococcaceae.
GCAGUUUGAUAUUGAGUGUUUGUACCACAUGUACAGGAUAGGUAGGAGCCUUAGAAGUCGGGACGCUAGUUUCGACAGAGGCGCUGGUGGGAUACUACCCCUGUGUUAUGACCACUCUAACCCGCACCACUAAUCGUGGUGGGAGACAGUGUCAGAUGGGCAGUUUGACUGGGGCGGUCGCCUCCUAAAGAGUAACGGAGGCGCCCAAAGGUUCCCUCAGAAUGGUUGGAAAUCAUUCGCAGAGUGUAAAGGCACAAGGGAGCUUGACUGCGAGACCUACAAGUCGAGCAGGGACGAAAGU